This 254-nucleotide ribosomal RNA is filed under the name uncultured bacterium. RNAcentral describes it as "partial 16S ribosomal RNA". It matches the Rfam family "Bacterial small subunit ribosomal RNA", at positions 524 to 776 of the family's 1533-position model. The record is from RNAcentral.
UACGUAGGGGGCAAGCGUUGUCCGGAUUUAUUGGGCGUAAAGAGCGUGUAGGCGGCCUGACAGGUCUGCUGUGAAAACUCGAGGCUCAACCUCGAGAUGUCGGCGGAAACCGUCUGGCUAGAGUCCGGAAGAGGAGAGUGGAAUUCCUGGUGUAGCGGUGAAAUGCGCAGAUAUCAGGAGGAACACCAAUGGCGAAGGCAGCUCGCUGGGACGGUACUGACGCUGAGGCGCGAAAGCGUGGGGAGCGAAACAGG